Non-coding RNA from Vicia faba (fava bean), 363 nucleotides. The record is from the annotation of a GenBank genome assembly. Lineage: Eukaryota; Viridiplantae; Streptophyta; Magnoliopsida; Fabales; Fabaceae.
AAAAAAAACACUUAUCUUUCUCAAGACCAUACUCAAACAGAUAUACUUUCUUACUUUCUUUCAAACCAUUUUCCCUCAAAACUUAUCAUUACCCAUUUUAAUCCUCUCAAAUCCAAACACAUAAAACAGAUGGUGGCUGGGAAUUUCCUCUCUACCUUUCUGUUGUUCUGCAAAAAAAAAAAAAAUUUCAGACAAAAAAACAAUAUUUUUCAGAUUAUAAAUUUCGCGAUUUUUGUUCAAGCUUGUGUUAUUGUUGUGGAAAUUUUUUGUUUAUGGACAUGGAUCUGUGUAAUCAUGAUUUGCGAUUGGAUUAUAGUUGUUUUAGAUUCAGCUUAUUCAGGUAAGAAGUUAAGUUGCCUGUGA